This 301-nucleotide ribosomal RNA is filed under the name uncultured bacterium. RNAcentral describes it as "partial 16S ribosomal RNA". It matches the Rfam family "Bacterial small subunit ribosomal RNA", at positions 509 to 809 of the family's 1533-position model. The record is from RNAcentral.
CAGCCGCCGCGGGAAAACGGAGGGGGCUAGCGUUGUUCGGAAUUACUGGGCGUAAAGCGUGCGUAGGCGGCUUCUUAAGUCGGAUGUGAAAUCCCUGAGCUUAACUUAGGAAUUGCAUUCGAUACUGGGAAGCUAGAGUAUGGGAGAGGAUGGUAGAAUUCCAGGUGUAGCGGUGAAAUGCGUAGAGAUCUGGAGGAAUACCGAUGGCGAAGGCAGCCAUCUGGCCUAAUACUGACGCUGAGGUACGAAAGCAUGGGGAGCAAACAGGAUUAGAUACCCCCGUAGUCCCUGUCUCUUAUAU